This 2198-nucleotide long non-coding RNA is filed under the name Marmota monax (woodchuck). The record is from RNAcentral. Lineage: Eukaryota; Metazoa; Chordata; Mammalia; Rodentia; Sciuridae.
GUUUUAUUUACUGCUUUUCAGAGUGGUUGUGCUAAUUUGCAGUCCCACUGACAAUGUAUCAGUGUAUCUUUCCCUCUCAAUUUCUGCCAGCAUUUAUCAUUCUUUUUUUUUAAUAUCUUUAUUUAGUUUAUUUAUUUUUUUUAUGUGGUGCUAAGGAUCGAACCCAGAGUCUCACAUGUGCAAGGCGAGCGCUCUACCGCUGAGCCACACCCCAGCCCCAACAUUUAUUAUUCUUGUUCUUGCUAACAGCCAUUCAAACUGGAGUGAGAUGGAAUCUUAGUGUAGUUUUGAUUUGCAUUUUCCUGGUUGCUAGAGAUGUUGAACUUUUUUUUUCAUAUAUUUUUUACCAUUUGUUUCUUUUGAAAUGUCUGUUUAGUUCUCUAGCUUACUUAUUGAUUUGGGUUAUUUGUGUAUUGGUGUUGAGUUUUCUGAGUUCUUUUUAUAUCCUAGAUAUUGGUCCCCUGUUAGAGGAGGAGCUGGCAAAGAUUUUUUUCCCAAUCAAUAGGCUCUUUCUUCACUCUCUUAAUCCUUUCUUUUGAUGUACAGAGGCUUUUUAAUUUUAUGGCAUCCAAUUUAUUGACUGUUGGUUUUAUUUAGGGUCUUGUUAAGGAAAUUGGUGCCUGCACCUAUAUGAUGGAGUGUGAACGCUGUGUUUUCUUCAAGCAUUCGUAAGGUUUCUGGUAUAAUUCCAAGUCUGAUCCAAUUUGAUUUGACAUUUGUGCAGAGUGAGAGAUAGGAAUCUAUUUUCAUUUUUCUACAUAUGCAUACCCAGUUUUCCCAGCACAAUAUUAAUUCUGCCUGAACAUGAGAGGUAUUUCCAACUUCUAAGAUCUUCUUCAGUUUCUUUAUCCAGUGUUCUAUAGUUGUUAUUGUAUAGAUCUUUCGCCCCAUAGUUAGAUUAAUUACCAGGGUUUUUUUUAGGUUAUUUGAAAUGGAUGGUCUUCCUUAUUACUUUCUCAGUAGAAUUACUAUUGGAGUAUAAAGUAUAGAAAAGAAAUUGAUCUGUUUAGGUUUCCUAUAUCUUCCUAGUUCAAUUUGGGCAGGUCAUAUUUGUCUGGAAAUUUUCAAGUCUUCUAGAUUUUUAAGUUUAUUGGAAUAUAAAUUUUCAAAAUACUUUAUGAUCCCUUGAAUUUCAUAAGAGUCUGUGGUAUUACCUACUUUUUCAUCUCUAAUUUUGUUAAUUUGGGUCUUCUCUCUCUUUCUUUUGGUUAGUUUGACUAAGGGUUUAUCAAUCUUAUUUGUCUUUUCAAAGAACUAACUCUUUGUUGCAUUGAUCCUGGGUAUUUUUUUUAUUUUCAAUGUCAUUAAUUUCUAUUCUGAUCUUAAUUACUUCCUGUCUUCUACUGAUUUUUGGAUUAGUUAUUACUUUUAUAAGGCCUUGAGGCAGAAUAUAUUUAUUUGGAAUCUAUUUUUUUGAGGGAGUACUGGAGAUUGAACCACUGAGCCACAUCCAGCCUUUUUUUUUUUUUUUUUUUGAGAGAGAGAGAAGAGAGACAGAGAGAGAGAGAGAGAGAAUAUUUGUAAUAUUUAUUUUUUAGUUUUCAGCAGGCACAACAUCUUUGUUUGUAUGUGGUGCUGAGGAUCGAACCCGGGCCACAUGCAUGCCAGGCAAGCGUGCUACCACUUGAGCCACAUCCCCAGCCCCCUUCUUUAAAAAAAAAUUUAGAUGUUGAUGGACCUUUAUUUUAUUCAUUUAUUUAUAUAUGGUGCUGAACCAAGUGCCUCACACAUACUAGGUAAAAGCACUCUACCACUGAGCCACAACCCCAGCCCCCCUAGCCCAUCUUUUUUAUUUUGAGACAGGGUCUCUCUAAGUUGCUUAAGACCUCACGAACUUGCUGAGCCUGGCUUAGAACUUGUGAUUCCCCUUCCUCAGCCUCCUGAGUUGCUGGGAUUACAAACGUGUGCCAUCACACCCAAUUCUAUUUUUUUUUGGUGGGGGAGGGUACUGGGGAUUGAACUCAGGGGCACUUGACCACUGAGUCCCAUCCCCAGCCCUAUUUUGUAUUUUAUUUAGAGACAGGGUCUCACUGAGUUGCUUAGCUCCUUGCGGUUGUUGAGGCUGGCUUUGAACUCAUAAUCCUUCUGUAUCAGCCUCCCAAGCUGCUUGGAUUAUAGGUAUGUACCACUACGCCAGGCUUUCUUUUUUUGUAAUGUUGGCACUCAGCGUUAUAAAAUUUCCUCUUAGUACUGCUUUC